This 136-nucleotide small RNA is filed under the name Salmonella enterica subsp. enterica serovar Muenchen. Its description in RNAcentral is "RtT sRNA". It matches the Rfam family "RtT RNA". From Rfam's summary of the family: This family represents a bacterial cis-regulatory element known as RtT RNA. The exact function of RtT is unknown although it is thought that it may be involved in changing the cellular response in relation to amino acid starvation. Lineage: Bacteria; Pseudomonadati; Pseudomonadota; Gammaproteobacteria; Enterobacterales; Enterobacteriaceae. RNAcentral also lists the same sequence under 14 other names. The record is from RNAcentral.
UAAAGCCACCCUACAGGGGGGAUGAGAACCACCGACCGGGGUUCGACAACUGGCGCAGCCAGUUGGACAGACGACGAGCCUGCGAGGAGACUGCCCGAAGGGCGAGCGCAGCGAGUCAAUCCCCCCCUCACCGCCA